GCGCGUUUGGCGAAGCGGGAACGCAACCGGCUGUGAACCGGCUAUGGACGGGUUCGACCCCCGUAACGCGCCCCA
RNAcentral lists this transfer RNA (75 nucleotides) under Tenericutes bacterium ADurb.BinA155. Its description in RNAcentral is "tRNA-His". It matches the Rfam family "tRNA". From Rfam's summary of the family: Transfer RNA (tRNA) molecules are approximately 80 nucleotides in length. Their secondary structure includes four short double-helical elements and three loops (D, anti-codon, and T loops). The record is from RNAcentral. Lineage: Bacteria; Bacillati; Mycoplasmatota.